GUGCUUGCUUCGGCAGCACAUAUACUAAAAUUGGACAAAGAAGAUUAGCAUGGCUCCUGCGCAAGGAUGAUACGCAAAUUCGUGAAGCGUUCCAUAUUUAA
Molecule: small nuclear RNA, 101 nt
Filed under: Vicugna pacos (alpaca)
Lineage: Eukaryota; Metazoa; Chordata; Mammalia; Artiodactyla; Camelidae
Source: RNAcentral